UCUCACAUGAGGUCCCGGCGAGAAGGACCUGCUUCCAUCAGAUUCACACUUGGGAGAGGGGCCCGGCCUCCAGGAGCGCCAGGCAGAAAGGGCACCCAUUAGGAAGAAGAACACAGAGGCCAUGGGAGUGAAAAGUUUGAUGCUGGAAAGCAACAGUAGCACAUUCUGCUACAGAGCGGAAUGAAAAACCCUGGGGAGCAAAUUCCUGAGCCAGAGAAUGGAGCGGAGGAACCAGCCAAGGAGGAUAAAGAGACUUAGCCUAGAAAAUAAUGAAGAAGGACAGAAAGAGAAUACCAUUCUACUACACCCGCUGAUGACUUAAAACCUGCGUGCUCUGAGGCUGCCCGACCCUGAGCUCCAGAACAGACCAUCGAGUUCAGGAGACAAGCAUGUCAGCCAUGACACAAGGCAGAUGAGAGGGACCCCCAGCGUCCACACGUGGAGGCAGCGGGGGCAGCCGGUGAGCAUAGAUGGGGAAGGAGAUUCAGAGCCUGAGGGCUGCUCUCCUGCCCUCCCAUCCUGGACACUGGCCUGGGCCCCCCAGCUUCCCUUCGCCCAGCUUCCACCCCCAUAACACACAACCCCAGAGCUUGGGAAGGAGGUCUCUCUGUGACAGGUGGGAUUCUGGAAGUUUCCACGGAGGAGACCCCAUAGGAGCAGGGUUUGAAGGUCAAGAAAGAUGCUAAGGAUGGAGAGGGCCAGUGGGGAGAGGGUGGUUCCAGGCUCACUUCACAGAGGUGCUUGGGGAGCUGCAAUAUUUUGGCAGCACCAAGGGAAGAGUCAGGUCAGUGAGGUUCAUAAGGGAUGAGAAAGGAGUCUAACCAGCCCUGGAGACCCCUGGGGUCUGGCCCCACAGGGAGAUGUCCAAGUGGCAGAAAGUCCCUUCCUGCCUGGAGAGCACCCCCACGAGGACCCUGGGGCCACCCGGGAACCGCUGCUCCCUCCCAGUCACUCACCACACUUCCCUCUCCCGCCCACCCUCCAACCUGCCUGCAAAUUCCCCUGCAACCCAACUCUGGUCUCCUCCCAACCCUGCCCCCACGUAGGCCUUUUUUUUUCUUUUUCACUUCUUCCCCCCAGUGACUUCCUUCUGCAGUGUUGAUUCAGCUCCCUUUGAAGGCGGGUGAGACCUUUUGCAGGCUGGGGGCAGGGGCGGGGGCGGAGAAGAGGGCUGCAGGCAGGGCUGGCAGAGGGGAGGAGGUGACACACACUCCCUGGAGGCGAGUGGGGAGGGCUCGGGGCAGGAAAUGGAGUUGGGUGCCCCAGGUGGGGUGCUCCAACGAGCUCUUUCUCAUGGGAUCCCCCACAGAUCCAUACAAACAGGCUGACCAUCAGGGCUGGUCCCAGGCCACCAGGCUGGGUGCAAUGCAGAAAUGGAGAUCUGCCCCGGGGAAGGCAGGUGAGUGUAGGAAGGAGGGAGGGCUGCGAGAAGCUGGGGGCAGCCUCCAUCCCCCUGUGGCCUGGGUGGGCCUGUGCCCCCCCAACCCCCCGACGCAGCUUCCCACACUGGGAGCACAGUUCCUCCCUCCUCUGCCUUCCUCUGCGUGGUGUGGCUCCUCCUUGAGGGAGAGAGCUGAGGAGGUGGCAUUCUUGCUUCCCUGACUCACCCAAAGGAAGAUUUCACAGCCCCUGGCAAGGGCUGCCAGACAGGCUCACCUGUCACCCCCUGUCCAGGGACAGACUGACCGGUAGCCUUGGCUGGGUGGGGAGUUAUGCUGGGAAGUCUUCCAGGCCCCCUGGGGGUGGGAAGAUGCUCAAUGUUCAAAGGAGAUGGAACGAGGAAAACAGUUAAGCAACGAUGGACUCCAGGGGGAAAACCGGAGAAGAAGAAACUGUAAUUCCAGUCCGUCCACAUGGCCCAGCAGUGAACGACAAUUGCAUGGUCAGAGAGAGCAAAAGCACCACGCCGACUGAAAGCAGCUCGAAUGUGGUGGGGCAGUGGGAGAUAAUGCCCUCAUCUACCAAAACAAGAUCUGCCACCUUCGCAGACCACUAAACCUCAUUCCUCCACCCACCUCCCCACCCCCAUGAAGGCCAACUGACCAGAGAGCA
RNAcentral lists this long non-coding RNA (2052 nucleotides) under Homo sapiens (human). RNAcentral describes it as "lncAB375.1". Lineage: Eukaryota; Metazoa; Chordata; Mammalia; Primates; Hominidae. The record is from RNAcentral.